AUUGAACGCUGGCGGCAUGCCUUACACAUGCAAGUCGAACGGUAACAGGAAGAAGCUUGCUUCUUUGCUGACGAGUGGCGGACGGGUGAGUAAUGUCUGGGAAACUGCCUGAUGGAGGGGGAUAACUACUGGAAACGGUAGCUAAUACCGCAUAACGUCGCAAGACCAAAGAGGGGGACCUUCGGGCCUCUUGCCAUCAGAUGUGCCCAGAUGGGAUUAGCUAGUAGGUGGGGUAACGGCUCACCUAGGCGACGAUCCCUAGCUGGUCUGUGGGAAUGACCAGCCACACAGGAACUGAGAGACGGGCCAGACUCCUACGGGAGGCAGCAGUGGGGAAUAUUGCACAAUGGGCGCAAGCCUGAUGCAGCCAUGCCACGUGUAUGAAGAAGGCCUUCGGGUUGUAAAGUACUUUCAGCGGGGAGGAAGGAAGUAAAGUUAAUACCUUUGCUCAUUGACGUUACCCGCAGAAGAAGCACCGGCUAACUCCGUGCCAGCCGCCGCGGUAA
RNAcentral lists this ribosomal RNA (506 nucleotides) under uncultured bacterium. Its description in RNAcentral is "partial 16S ribosomal RNA". It matches the Rfam family "Bacterial small subunit ribosomal RNA", at positions 30 to 523 of the family's 1533-position model. The record is from RNAcentral.